UNCCAAUGGGUAUAAGGAUUCAGUUUAGCUA
RNAcentral lists this non-coding RNA (31 nucleotides) under Mus musculus (house mouse). Lineage: Eukaryota; Metazoa; Chordata; Mammalia; Rodentia; Muridae. The record is from RNAcentral.